AUUGAACGCUAGCGGGAUGCUUUACACAUGCAAGUCGAACGGCAGCGCGGACUUCGGUCUGGCGGCGAGUGGCGAACGGGGAAGUAAUGUAUCGGAACGUGCCCAGUAGCAGGGGAUAACUCCGCGAAAGCGUAGCUAAUACCGCAUACGCUCUACGGGGAAAAGCAGGGGAUCGUAAGACCUUGCACUAUUAGAGCGCCCGGUAGCGUAUUAGCUAGUUGGUGAGGUAACGGCUCACCAAGGCGACGAUGCGUAGCUGGCUUGAGAGGACGACCAGCCACACUGGGACUGAGACACGGCCCAGACUCCUACGGGAGGCAGCAGUGGGGAAUUUUGGACAAUGGGCGCAAGCCUGAUCCAGCCAUCCCGCGUGUGCGAUGAAGGCCUUCGGGUUGUAAAGCACUGUUGGUAGGAAAGAAACGUCGCGUGCUAAUACCCCGUGGAACUGACGGUACCUGAAGAAUAAGCACCGGCUAACUACGUG
RNAcentral lists this ribosomal RNA (484 nucleotides) under uncultured bacterium. Its description in RNAcentral is "partial 16S ribosomal RNA". It matches the Rfam family "Bacterial small subunit ribosomal RNA", at positions 30 to 507 of the family's 1533-position model. The record is from RNAcentral.